Molecule: ribosomal RNA, 775 nt
Filed under: uncultured Neocallimastigales
Lineage: Eukaryota; Fungi; Neocallimastigomycota; Neocallimastigomycetes; Neocallimastigales
Description: partial large subunit ribosomal RNA
Rfam family: Eukaryotic large subunit ribosomal RNA
Source: RNAcentral
AUGUGAUCGUCUCUCGCAUAUCAAUAAGCGGAGGAAAAGAAACUAACAAGGAUUCCCCUAGUAACGGCGAGUGAAGCGGGAAGAGCUCAAAUUUGAAAUCUUAAAGGGUUUCCCUUUACGAAUUGUAGUUUAAAGAAGUGUUUUCUGUUGAGGUUUUGGUAAAAGUUCUUUGGAAUAGGACAUCAUAGAGGGUGAGAAUCCCGUAUUUGGUACAUUACUUUCUAACUUUGUGAUACACUUUCAAAGAGUCGGAUUGUUUGGGAAUGCAGUCCAAAAUGGGUGGUAAAUUUCAUCUAAAGCUAAAUAUUGGCGAGAGACCGAUAGCGAACAAGUACCGUGAGGGAAAGAUGAAAAGAACUUUGAAAAGAGAGUUAAACAGUACGUGAAAUUGUCAAAAGGGAAGCGUUUGACACUAGUGUUGUUUUUCUGAAAAUCAAUUAAAGAACUGUUUAUGCUAAGCUGUUUAGACUUUAUCAGCUAUCUGUUUAGUUUUGAGCUUUUCUUUAAUGCACUUUUCAGUUAACAAGUCAACAUCAAUUUCUUUUGCUGUAAAAAAGCUUGAGGAAGGUGGCUUGAGAUUCGUCUUAAGUGUUUAUAGCCUCUUGCCUAUGCAGUCGGAGAGACUGAGGUCUGCAGCGUAGAUCUUUCGGGGCUAAAUGCAUUUGUGCUAAGUUAUAGCAUUUCAUAGACAACUUGUUGACUAUGAUUUGUCUUGUAGCUUACUCGCUUAUGUUAUUUUACCUACGCUUAGGAUGUUGACUGAUAUGUAGUCGUA